UUAAGCGACUAAGCGUACACGGUGGAUGCCCUGGCAGUCAGAGGCGAUGAAGGACGUGCUAAUCUGCGAAAAGCGUCGGUAAGGUGAUAUGAACCGUUACAGCCGGCGAUGUCCGAAUGGGGAAACCCAGUGCAAUUCGUUGCACUAUCGUUAACUGAAUACAUAGGUUAACGAGGCGAACCGGGGGAACUGAAACAUCUAAGUACCCCGAGGAAAAGAAAUCAACCGAGAUUCCCCCAGUAGCGGCGAGCGAACGGGGAGCAGCCCAGAGUCUGAAUCAGCUUGUGUGUUAGUGGAACGGUCUGGAAAGUCCGACGGUACAGGGUGAUAGUCCCGUACACCAAAAUGCACAGGCUGUGAACUCGAAGAGUAGGGCGGGACACGUGGUAUCCUGUCUGAAUAUGGGGGGACCAUCCUCCAAGGCUAAAUACUCCUGACUGACCGAUAGUGAACCAGUACCGUGAGGGAAAGGCGAAAAGAACCCCGGCGAGGGGAGUGAAAAAGAACCUGAAACCGUGUACGUACAAGCAGUGGGAGCACCUUCGGGUGUGACUGCGUACCUUUUGUAUAAUGGGUCAGCGACUUAUAUUCUGUAGCAAGGUUAACCGUAUAGGGGAGCCGCAGGGAAACCGAGUCUUAACUGGGCGUUAAGUUGCAGGGUAUAGACCCGAAACCCGGUGAUCUAGCCAUGGGCAGGUUGAAGGUUGGGUAACACUAACUGGAGGACCGAACCGACUAAUGUUGAAAAAUUAGCGGAUGACUUGUGGCUGGGGGUGAAAGGCCAAUCAAACCGGGAGAUAGCUGGUUCUCCCCGAAAGCUAUUUAGGUAGCGCCUCGUGAAUUCAUCUUCGGGGGUAGAGCACUGUUUCGGCUAGGGGGUCAUCCCGACUUACCAACCCGAUGCAAACUACGAAUACCGAAGAAUGUUAUCACGGGAGACACACGGCGGGUGCUAACGUCCGUCGUGAAGAGGGAAACAACCCAGACCGCCAGCUAAGGUCCCAAAGUCAUGGUUAAGUGGGAAACGAUGUGGGAAGGCACAGACAGCCAGGAUGUUGGCUUAGAAGCAGCCAUCAUUUAAAGAAAGCGUAAUAGCUCACUGGUCGAGUCGGCCUGCGCGGAAGAUGUAACGGGGCUAAACCAUGCACCGAAGCUGCGGCAGCGACACUAUGUGUUGUUGGGUAGGGGAGCGUUCUGUAAGCCUGCGAAGGUGACCUGUGAGGGUUGCUGGAGGUAUCAGAAGUGCGAAUGCUGACAUAAGUAACGAUAAAGCGGGUGAAAAGCCCGCUCGCCGGAAGACCAAGGGUUCCUGUCCAACGUUAAUCGGGGCAGGGUGAGUCGACCCCUAAGGCGAGGCCGAAAGGCGUAGUCGAUGGGAAACAGGUUAAUAUUCCUGUACUUGGUGUUACUGCGAAGGGGGGACGGAGAAGGCUAUGUUAGCCGGGCGACGGUUGUCCCGGUUUAAGCAUGUAGGCUGGUUAUCCAGGCAAAUCCGGAUAAUCAAGGCUGAGGUGUGAUGACGAGGCACUACGGUGCUGAAGUAACAAAUGCCCUGCUUCCAGGAAAAGCCUCUAAGCAUCAGGUAACAUCAAAUCGUACCCCAAACCGACACAGGUGGUCAGGUAGAGAAUACCAAGGCGCUUGAGAGAACUCGGGUGAAGGAACUAGGCAAAAUGGUGCCGUAACUUCGGGAGAAGGCACGCUGGUGUGUAGGUGAAGUCCCUGCGGAUGGAGCUGAGACCAGUCGAAGAUACCAGCUGGCUGCAACUGUUUAUUAAAAACACAGCACUGUGCAAACACGAAAGUGGACGUAUACGGUGUGACGCCUGCCCGGUGCCGGAAGGUUAAUUGAUGGGGUUAUCCGUAAGGAGAAGCUCUUGAUCGAAGCCCCGGUAAACGGCGGCCGUAACUAUAACGGUCCUAAGGUAGCGAAAUUCCUUGUCGGGUAAGUUCCGACCUGCACGAAUGGCGUAAUGAUGGCCAGGCUGUCUCCACCCGAGACUCAGUGAAAUUGAACUCGCUGUGAAGAUGCAGUGUACCCGCGGCAAGACGGAAAGACCCCGUGAACCUUUACUAUAGCUUGACACUGAACAUUGAGCCUUGAUGUGUAGGAUAGGUGGGAGGCUUUGAAGCGUGGACGCCAGUCUGCGUGGAGCCAACCUUGAAAUACCACCCUUUAAUGUUUGAUGUUCUAACGUUGGCCCCUGACCGGGGUUGCGGACAGUGUCUGGUGGGUAGUUUGACUGGGGCGGUCUCCUCCCAAAGCGUAACGGAGGAGCACGAAGGUUAGCUAAUCCUGGUCGGACAUCAGGAGGUUAGUGCAAUGGCAUAAGCUAGCUUGACUGCGAGCGUGACGGCGCGAGCAGGUGCGAAAGCAGGUCAUAGUGAUCCGGUGGUUCUGAAUGGAAGGGCCAUCGCUCAACGGAUAAAAGGUACUCCGGGGAUAACAGGCUGAUACCGCCCAAGAGUUCAUAUCGACGGCGGUGUUUGGCACCUCGAUGUCGGCUCAUCACAUCCUGGGGCUGAAGUAGGUCCCAAGGGUAUGGCUGUUCGCCAUUUAAAGUGGUACGCGAGCUGGGUUUAGAACGUCGUGAGACAGUUCGGUCCCUAUCUGCCGUGGGCGCUGGAGAAUUGAGGGGGGCUGCUCCUAGUACGAGAGGACCGGAGUGGACGCAUCACUGGUGUUCGGGUUGUCAUGCCAAUGGCACUGCCCGGUAGCUAAAUGCGGAAGAGAUAAGUGCUGAAAGCAUCUAAGCACGAAACUUGCCCCGAGAUGAGUUCUCCCUGAGACUUUAAGUCUCCUGAAGGAACGUUGAAGACGACGACGUUGAUAGGCCGGGUGUGUAAGCGCAGCGAUGCGUUGAGCUAACCGGUACUAAUGAACCGUGAGGCUUAACCU
RNAcentral lists this ribosomal RNA (2899 nucleotides) under Klebsiella pneumoniae. RNAcentral's name for it is "23S ribosomal RNA". It matches the Rfam family "Bacterial large subunit ribosomal RNA". The record is from RNAcentral. Lineage: Bacteria; Pseudomonadati; Pseudomonadota; Gammaproteobacteria; Enterobacterales; Enterobacteriaceae.